CCUACGGGAGGCAGCAGGGGGGAAUAUUGCACAAUGGGGGAAACCCUGAUGCAGCGACGCCGCGUGAGUGAAGAAGUAAUUCGGUACGUAAAGCUCUAUCAGCAGGGAAGAAAAUGACGGUACCUGAGUAAGAAGCCCCGGCUAACUACGUGCCAGCAGCCGCGGUAAUACGUAGGGGGCAAGCGUUAUCCGGAGUUACUGGGUGUAAAGGGAGCGUAGACGGUGCGCCAAGUCUGGAGCGAAAUGCCGCAGCUUACCUGCGGUACUGCUUUGGAAACUGGCGAACUAGAGUGCGGGAGGGGGAAGCGGAAUUCCUAGGGUAGCGGUGAAAUGCGUAGAUAUUAGGAGGAACACCGGUGGCGAAGGCGGCUUACUGGACCGUAACUGACGUUGAGGCUCGAAAGCGUGGGGAGCAAACAGGAUUAGAUACCCGUGUAGUC
RNAcentral lists this ribosomal RNA (440 nucleotides) under uncultured bacterium. Its description in RNAcentral is "partial 16S ribosomal RNA". It matches the Rfam family "Bacterial small subunit ribosomal RNA", at positions 338 to 795 of the family's 1533-position model. The record is from RNAcentral.